CGAACAUUUUGAGUCCUAAUUAUUAUGAAAACUGUGCGCUAACAAAGCCCAACGUUUGCUAAGAUAUAUUUUUAUGUUGAACAGAAUUAAUGAAUGUAUUUAGAGUCAAUCAAAUCCGACCCAUGAUAAAAAUGAAAUAUUUAGUUAUCAAUAAAUGCUCAAAAACGUGCCUUCGUAUUUAACUAGUUUCCAAGAAUACAUUUGAAAUAUUAAAUAUACCUAGUGCUUGGUUAUUUUUUGGUAUAUUUUUCUUUUUAGGUAGGUGCAACAGAUAUUCGUCAAAGUCAAUAUAUACUGGAUAAUCGAAAGUCCAGCUUUGCUGUCACAAUUGAAAUAUAAUUUUAAGUUUUUAAAGCACAAGUCACAAGCUGAAUAAAACAAACCUGUGCCAAACA
Molecule: long non-coding RNA, 395 nt
Organism: Cydia fagiglandana
Lineage: Eukaryota; Metazoa; Arthropoda; Insecta; Lepidoptera; Tortricidae
Exons: 2
Source: RefSeq, a predicted model, not a curated record